GUUUCACACAGCUGAGAAAGAGCAGUUAACAGUUUUACUACAGCUCUGGGGCACAGAAUUGAAAAAAAAUUGGAAAAUAUCCAAAGGACUUUCUUUACAAAGAAACUAAUAAAAAAGCUGGAACACACCUGAACUACACGGCCCGCUGCACUAUUUAACUUCGAAUAAUAAUCAACGGUUUGAGACAUAAUUACAAAAUUGUCAAUGGAAGUACUAACAUGAUUCGAAGGUCAUUCCACGCCAAUACAUCCAGAAAUCGAAGCGACCAUUUCACGGAUGAUGAUCAUUUUUGUUGCUUGGGUGUCCAAAAUUGAGACUUUUUCAAAAAGCUGAAAAAAGGCAUUAAUUUUUAAAACCAACAUGAUCUUAUGAAUGAAGAAUUUUAAUUACAUGAAUGUUGAAAGGUAUAAAAAUCUUGAUUUAAGAACAAAGGUACCUUAAUCGGAAGUACCGUCCCCCCAGAGCAUCGUUUUAUUUUUAUGAAAUAUUUUUGAAAUUCAUUAUUAUUUCCGCAGUUUUUGUAAUGCACCUGGAUUAACGAUUUUUCUAGAGGCAAUAGCAUAAUAUAUGAGCUAUUUAUUGUAAAAAUUGUAAUAACGUCAACGGCAUAGAUAAAAGUUAUUGAUCGCUAAUGUUAGAAAAAACACUGAUUUUGACGAAAAUUGGGGCUUUUCAAAAAAUCAUAACUCAAAACUAUAUUUUUGAUUACAAUGAAAAUUGUUUACUAUGUCUUCUAAAACAUAUUUUAAAAAUAGAAAAAGUAUAAUUUUUUGUUCGAGAGAUAAAUUUUACUGGAAGAUAUUAAAAAACCAAAAUAACUACAGAAAGGUAGGGAAUUGCGGGGUUGGGUAAAUAAAGCUUAGAUUUUAUGUAGAAAAGUAGUUUGCGAUUCAGGGAUAUACCAAUUAAGACUUUAUUCAAUAAAUUCACUAGUA
Molecule: long non-coding RNA, 935 nt
Organism: Daphnia pulex (common water flea)
Lineage: Eukaryota; Metazoa; Arthropoda; Branchiopoda; Diplostraca; Daphniidae
Exons: 4
Source: RefSeq, a predicted model, not a curated record